CAGUCGUAUUAAACAAAAUAAGAAACCGCUUGCGAUAUUUCUUGAUUUAGUCAAAGCCUUUGAUACCGUUUCAUAUGACAUGGCUACGGAAUAAGGAGACUAUUUUGAAAAUUGUAAACACUGGAAAUGUUAAAAGCUAAACACUACUGAGUUUGCAGGAAAACAACUCGGACCUUAGCCUGGACCCUAACUACAGCUACUGUUUCUCCUACACGUGGCUGGGCGUCGACUACUACAACGUAACAGACUCUGGAGAACCGAUGACUUGCAAGGAAUACCGAAAGAAAAACAAUAGUACAGCCGCGAGUACUCCCUGUGUCGAGCCUGUAGUUUUUUCGGAAGACAUUUUUUCCAUGCCCGAUGCCGACGACCUGUGGAAUACAAACAAAUCCAAAUACGUCUGCAAGAGAGCUGGAUCGCAGUCGUGCGUAAAAUACACCGUUUCGUUCGAUGGAAAUGUGCAGUACCAGACUCACAUGUGCUCCAGAGUGAGAACCAAAACAGAACUAAUAAAAACAGGAUGUCUCACGGAAACCAGGAACGGGGAUUUAUUGGAACUGUGCAUGUGUGAAAGCAACAAAGGGGUGGAUAAGCCUUGUAACGGAUCCCGGAGACCAGUAGUAUUCAGAACGUUUGUAGUCUUAAUUCUAUUGGUUGGAAUGCGUUUGAUAAAUCCUUUAUAAUG
RNA transcript from Anthonomus grandis grandis, 685 nucleotides. RefSeq lists it as uncharacterized. The transcript is spliced from 4 exons. The record is from RefSeq and is a predicted model, not a curated record. NCBI's taxonomy places the organism in Eukaryota, Metazoa, Arthropoda, Insecta, Coleoptera, Curculionidae.